CCUACGGGAGUCAGCAGUGGGGAAUAUUGCACAAUGGGGGGAACCCUGAUGCAGCGACGCCGCGUGAGUGAAGAAGUAUUUCGGUAUGUAAAGCUCUAUCAGCAGGGAAGAAAAUGACGGUACCUGACUAAGAAGCCCCGGCUAACUACGUGCCAGCAGCCGCGGUAAUAUGUAGGGGGCAAGCGUUAUCCGGAUUUACUGGGGGUAAAGGGAGCGCAGACGGAUUGGCAAGUCUGGAGUGAAAGGCGGGGGCCCAACCCCCGGACUGCUCUGGAAACUGUAAAGCGUGAGUGCAGGAGAGGUAAGCGGAAUUCCUAGUGUAGCGGUGAAAUGCGUAGAUAUUAGGAGGAACACCAGUGGCGAAGGCGGCUUACUGGACUGCAACUGACGUUGAGGCUCGAAAGCGUGGGGAGCAAACAGGAUUAGAUACCCCAGUAGUC
RNAcentral lists this ribosomal RNA (440 nucleotides) under uncultured bacterium. RNAcentral's name for it is "partial 16S ribosomal RNA". It matches the Rfam family "Bacterial small subunit ribosomal RNA", at positions 338 to 795 of the family's 1533-position model. The record is from RNAcentral.